GCGUAACUUACUUUGGGGUUGGUUAAUCAGCUAGAAUUAGGGCUCUAUUCAAUCUGGAUGGCUGAAGCGUUACAGACCGUGUGAUAGAAAUGUAAGGUCCUUUCCCAUUGAGCCGACAUAUGCAGCGUUUACCGUGAAUGCAGUCUCCGCUAACACAGGAACAUUACCUUUACAUUUCUAUCAGGUGGUAAAGUUGAACUUCAGCCAUACAGAUUGAAUAGAGCCCUUAGGGUGGGGAGGAGGUUUGGUGGUUAUUACCAGAGCUCAGAAUUGAUCCCGGUCAGGGCUCUAAACGUUCUACAUAACUGUACAGACUUCUAAACUUCCAGUACUGUCCACUCAACAGAGAAAUGAAGAGCUCUUCUGUCAAAGUAGGUCAACUUUGGACACAAAAAACAGUCCAACUCCGCAUCUUUCCCAAUUUUCAAACAUAAACGGGGUGUGGCCUUUGGUGUUACAUCAGUGUCAUUCUAGUCAGGUGUGCACAUGACCAACGUACAGUUGAAUCGGAUGUUUACAUACACCUUAGCCAAAUACAUUUAAACUCAGUUUUUCAAAAUUCCUGACAUUUAAUCCUACUACAAAUUCCCUGUUUUAGGUCAGUUAGGAUCACCACUUUAUUUUAAGAAUGUGAAAUGUCAGAAUAAUAGUAGAGAGAAUGAUUUAUUUCAGCUUUUAUUUCUUUCAUCACAUUCCCAGUGGGUCAGAAGUUCACAUAGACUCAAUUAGUAUUUGGUAGCAUUGCCUUUAAAUGGUUUAACUUUGGCAAAAGUUUUGGGUAGCUUUCCACAAGUGAAUUCCACAAGUGAAUUUUGGCCCAUUCCUCCUGACAGAGCUGGUGUAACGGAGUCCGGUUUGUAGGCCUCCUUGCUCACACACACUUUUUCAGUUAUGCCCACAAAUGUUCUAUAGGAUUGAGGUCAGGGCUGUGUGAUGGCCACUCCAAUACCUUGACUUUGUUGUCCUUAAGCCAUAUUGCCACAACUUUGGAAGUAUACUUGAGGUCAUUGUCCAUUUGGAAGACCCAUUUGCGACCAAGCUUUAACUUCCUGACUGAUGUCUUGAGAUCUUGCUUCAAUAUAUCUAUAUAACUUUAAUUCUUCAUUAUGCCAUCUAUUUUGUGAAGUGCACCAGUCCCUCCUGCAGCAAAGCACCCCCACAACAUGAUGCUGCCACCCCCAUGCUUCACGGUUGGGAUGGUGUUCUUCGGCUUGCAAGUCCCCCCUUUUUCCACCAAACAUAAUGAUGGUCAUUAUGGCCAAAGAGUUCUAUUUUUGUUUCAUCAGACCAUAGGACAUUUCUCCAAAAAGUACGAUCUUUGUCCCCAUGUGCAGUUGCAAACCAUAGUCAGGCUUUUUUAUGGCGGUUUUGGAGCAGUGGCUUCUUCCUUGCUGAGCGGCCUUUCAGGUUAUGUCGAUAUAGGACUCGUUUUACUGUGGAUAUAGAUACUUUUGUACCUGUUUCCUCCAGCAUCUUCACAAGGUCCUUUGCUGUUGUUCUGGGAUUGAUUUGCACUUUUCGCACCAAAGUACACUCAUCUCUAGGAGACCGAACGUGUCUCCUUCCUGAGCGGUAUGAUGGCUGCGUGGUCCCAUGGUGUUUAUAGUUGCGUACUAUUGUUUGUACAGAUGAUCGUGGUACCUUCAGGCAUUUGGAAAUUGCUCCCAAGGAUGACCCAGACUUGUGGAGGUCUACAAUUCUUUUUCUGAGGUCUUGGCUGAUUUCUUUUGAUUUUCCCAUGAUGUCAAGCAAAGAGGCACUGAGUUUGAAGGUAGGCCUUGAAAUACAUCCACAGGUACACUUCAAAUUAUGUCAAUUAGCCUAUCAGAAGCUUCUAAAGCCAUGACAUCAUUUUCUGGAGUUUUCCAAGCUGUUUAAAGGCAUCAGUCAGCUUAGUGUAUGUAGACGUCUGACCCACUGGAAUAGUGAUACUGUGAAUUAUAAGUGAAAGAAUCUGUCUGUAAACAAUUGUUGGAAAAAUGACUUCUGUCAUGCACAAAGUAGAUGUCCUAACUGACUUGCCAAAACUAUAGUUUGUUAACAAGACAUUUGUGGAGUGGUUGAAAAACGAGUUUUAAUGAUUCCAACCUAAGUGUAUGUAAACUUCGACUUCAACUGUAGCUAGUUCAUUAGCUAAGCUAGCCACUGUAGCUAGUUUGUUAGCUAAGCUAGCCACUGUAGCUAGUUUGUUAUCUAAGCUAGCCACUGAAGCUAGUUUGUUAGCUAAGCUAGCCACUGUAGCUAGUUUGUUAGCUAAGCUAGCCACUGUAGCUAGUUUGUUAGCUAAGCUAGCCACUGUAGCUAGUAUGUGUUGACAUUAUUUCACAGGAUUUGUUUUUGGAGAUCGGAAAGAAAUGGCACUUCUGUAGCCAAAUAUUUUAUUUUGCCAUUUUGUUAAAAGCAAUAUAUGACCUGGUAUGAUGGUGCACUGAUCAGUUAUACCGUUUGACGACAUUAUUUUUGCACUUUUGCCCAAAAUCGACCUACAAAUGUAUUGGUAGAGGUGUCCACCAGGGUAGACUGGAAAGGAUGGGAGGUGAGUUGGUAAUGAAAUACUCAACUUGAUGACAAAUAAAUACUUGGACAAAUGGAAAAACAUCUCAAAUAACAGUUUAAUAAAGUUCCUUCAACAUGUCAGUUGAUAACCGUUUCAUCCUGUGACAUGCCGUUGCAUUCAUCCUAUGACGUUACACAUCCUUUACGUGAAAUAAAAGGCAUAGUUGAAUAGAAUAAAGCAUUUGUGAUUGAUAUACA
Oncorhynchus masou masou (cherry salmon) is the source of this 2754-nucleotide long non-coding RNA. RefSeq lists it as uncharacterized. NCBI's taxonomy places the organism in Eukaryota, Metazoa, Chordata, Actinopteri, Salmoniformes, Salmonidae. The transcript has 2 exons. The record is from RefSeq and is a predicted model, not a curated record.